Molecule: long non-coding RNA, 204 nt
Filed under: Vigna radiata
Lineage: Eukaryota; Viridiplantae; Streptophyta; Magnoliopsida; Fabales; Fabaceae
Description: long non-coding RNA (VRAD_LNC002986)
Source: RNAcentral
GGUGCUCCUCGACUUCGUGGAUUUCGAGGCUCGGUCCCAGGUGCCUCUCCCAAUCCCACUCUUCUUCGUGGUUCCGAAGGAAACGAUCCAAAAUGAUUCUGGCACUUGUUGCAUUGCUCGCUUCCUUUUUCUUCGUCAAUUGGUUCAUGCUUCUCCGCUUACAAUUUCAAGUUGCAGGUGAACUCUCUUUAAUUCUGGCGGUGC